This 253-nucleotide ribosomal RNA is filed under the name uncultured bacterium. RNAcentral's name for it is "partial 16S ribosomal RNA". It matches the Rfam family "Bacterial small subunit ribosomal RNA", at positions 524 to 776 of the family's 1533-position model. The record is from RNAcentral.
UACGUAGGGGGCUAGCGUUGUCCGGAAUCAUUGGGCGUAAAGCGCGUGUAGGCGGUCCGGUAAGUCCGCUGUGAAAGUCGGGGGCUCAACCCUCGGAUGCCGGUGGAUACUGUCGGGCUUGAGUACGGAAGAGGCGAGUGGAAUUCCUGGUGCAGCGGUGAAAUGCGCAGAUAUCAGGAGGAACACCAAUUGCGAAGGCAGCUCGCUGGGACGUUACUGACGCUGAGACGCGAAAGCGUGGGGAGCGAACAGG